This 1018-nucleotide ribosomal RNA is filed under the name marine sediment metagenome. Its description in RNAcentral is "bacterial SSU rRNA". It matches the Rfam family "Bacterial small subunit ribosomal RNA", at positions 8 to 942 of the family's 1533-position model. The record is from RNAcentral.
AGAGUUUGAUCCUGGCUCAGAACGAACGCUGGCGGCGUGGAUUAGGCAUGCAAGUCGAACGACACGGCCCCUUCGGGGGCGUCAGUAGAGUGGCAAACGGGUGAGUAACGCGUGGGUAAUCUACCCUCAAGUUGGGGAUAACCCGCCGAAAGGCGGGCUAAUACCGGAUGUGGUCAUUUAGACGUAAGUAGAGAUGACUAAAGGCGGCCUCUGAUUAAAGCUGCCGCUUGAGGAUGAGCCCGCGUCCCAUUAGCUAGUUGGUGAGGUAACGGCUCACCAAGGCAUCGAUGGGUAGCCGGCCUGAGAGGGUGAUCGGCCACACUGGGAUUGAGAUACGGCCCAGACUCCCACGGGAGGCAGCAGUCGAGAAGCAUUCGCAAUGGGGGAAACCCUGACGAUGCGACGCCGCGUGAGGGAUGACGGCCUUCGGGUUGUAAACCUCUGUCACGUAGGCCGAAAUCCGGUUAACAAAUAGUGUGCCGGACUGACGUAUCUACGAGAGGAAGCUCCGGCUAAUUCCGUGCCAGCAGCCGCGGUGAUACGGAGGGAGCUAGCGUUGUUCGGAAUUACUGGGCGUAAAGGGCGUGUAGGCGGUAAUGCAAGUCGUGUGUGAAAACUGUUGGCUCAACUGACAGCCUGCACCCGAAACUGCAUAACUUGAGGACGGGAGAGGAGAGCGGAAUUCCUGGUGUAGCGGUGGAAUGCGUAGAUAUCAGGAAGAACACCGGAGGCGAAGGCGGCUCUCUGGACCGUAACUGACGCUGAAGCACGAAAGCUAGGGGAGCAAACAGGAUUAGAUACCCUGGUAGUCCUAGCCGUAAACGAUGGGCACUAGGUGUAGGCCCAGCACUGAAUGUUGGCGAGAGAGGCGCCAUGUGUAGACAUGGAGCCGAGCCGUCAGGAUUGAGUGCUGGGUCUGUGCCGGAGCAAACGCAUUAAGUGCCCCGCCUGGGGAGUACGGUCGCAAGGCUGAAACUCAAAGGAAUUGACGGGGGCCCGCACAAGCGGUGGAGCAUGU